UCGGGAAUUUUGGGCAAUGGGGGAAACCCUGACCCAGCAACGCCGCGUGAAGGAUGAAGUAUUUCGGUAUGUAAACUUCGAAAGAAUAGGAAGAAUAAAUGACGGUACUAUUUAUAAGGUCCGGCUAACUACGUGCCAGCAGCCGCGGUAAUACGUAGGGACCAAGCGUUGUUCGGAUUUACUGGGCGUAAAGGGCGCGUAGGCGGCAUGACAAGUCACUUGUGAAAUCUCUGGGCUUAACCCAGAACGGCCAAGUGAUACUGUCGCGCUAGAGUGCAGAAGGGGCAAUCGGAAUUCUUGGUGUAGCGGUGAAAUGCGUAGAUAUCAAGAGGAACACCUGAGGCGAAGGCGGCCACCUGGUUGGAUACUGACGCUGAGACGCGAAAGCGUGGGGAGCAAACAGGAUUAGAUACCCUGGUAGUCCCUGAGCGGGCUGGCAAGGCGCAU
This 447-nucleotide ribosomal RNA is filed under the name uncultured bacterium. RNAcentral's name for it is "bacterial SSU rRNA". It matches the Rfam family "Bacterial small subunit ribosomal RNA", at positions 355 to 825 of the family's 1533-position model. The record is from RNAcentral.